RNAcentral lists this long non-coding RNA (1064 nucleotides) under Varroa destructor (honeybee mite). RNAcentral describes it as "uncharacterized LOC111242938, transcript variant X3". Lineage: Eukaryota; Metazoa; Arthropoda; Arachnida; Mesostigmata; Varroidae. The record is from RNAcentral.
UAGGGUGCGACAACGAUGAGGGACUCAACUUUUUCGAAGUGCUACAGCAACUGUAUCCAGCCUAGCAUAUUCCAGAUAGAAAAGUACGGUCAGACUUGUUGUUUCUUGACGCUCAGCUAACAUAGCUCAUCUGAAGUGUUCUACCUGAGGCGGAAUACGUUCACCAUAGUUAACGCAACGGCGUGUACAUCACAUAGAACCCGGUUUGUAAAUAUAAGGUGGUAAGCUAGUUGGCGAAUAAGCCCAAAUUUGAUUGAACAAGAUUGUGUUUGCACUUGUAUUGCAUCUCGUCCUUAAGCAACCGCCGUGGCACCCCAACGAACAGGCUGCCCCCUUAUAACGCGGGAGAAAAUGCCAGAAGUCGCUUACAUUGCAGUCCGAUGAUCCAUUGCCAUUAUCAUUGGAGACAUACAAGGUAGCCUGCGCCUGUUCCAUUGAUGUUCGUGAUACAUACGCGUCACGCAGUUGUACGUAGCAUUUACGUAACGGCUAUAGGUAAGAAGACAUCAUCUUCACCUGGCUGGCUUCUGGUCACAGCGGCUAUUAAACCAACAUCGGAAACGAUCGUUGAACAACCCAUCGCAGAAGACCCGCACAUAAGACACCAAAACUUAGAUGUGAUUCAUGUCUAUUUGGACGGGAAUUGAAAAUCGUUUCGUUCGUUCUGGUCUUCGCCUCGCCUUGCUGUGCUGUGGCCAUAUUGUUUCGCCACUCUGCCACUAGCAUUUUCCCUAUUUACUGCCUCUGUCUUUAGUCUUGACAAAAGCUUUAGAACCAAUCGAGAACCCGGCGAAGGAUGUUCAUCUAGGGGACGCUUUACUUUAGAGCUUCGAGUUAAGUCAUGUGUGGACACGGGGUCAGCUUCACGGAGAAUCGCACUAUCGCUGGCCAAGUGAGACGAUGAUUAAAGCAAACAACGUUAGACAACUGAAAUGGCGGACAAUUGGCGCGAUAUUUGGAUUAGCUUGAAAUUUUACUUUGGGGACGGUGCUCCAUUCAGCGCACGCUAGGAAAGCCAAUAGAGAGGAAGGGCAGAAACGUAAAUAAACACAGUAAACCGUUGU